GGUUAAGUUAGAAAGGGCGCACGGUGGAUGCCUUGGCACUAGGAGCCGAAGAAGGACGGGACUAACACCGAUAUGCUUUGGGGAGCUGUACGUAAGCGUUGAUCCAGAGAUUUCCGAAUGGGGGAACCCACUAUCUUUAGUCGGAUAGUAUCCUUACGUGAAUACAUAGCGUGAGGAAGGCAGACCCAGGGAACUGAAACAUCUAAGUACCUGGAGGAAGAGAAAGAAAAAUCGAUUUCCUGAGUAGCGGCGAGCGAAACGGAAAGAGCCCAAACCAAGAAGCUUGCUUCUUGGGGUUGUAGGACACUCUAUACGGAGUUACAAAAGAAAGUUAUAAAUGAAGCGGUCUGGAAAGGCCCGCCAAAGACGGUAACAGCCCGGUAGUUGAAAUGGCUUUCCCUCCAGAGUGGAUCCUGAGUACGGCGGAACACGUGAAAUUCCGUCGGAAUCCGGGAGGACCAUCUCCCAAGGCUAAAUACUCCCUAGUGACCGAUAGUGAACCAGUACCGUGAGGGAAAGGUGAAAAGCACCCCGGAAGGGGAGUGAAACAGUUCCUGAAACCGUGUGCCUACAAGUAGUUAGAGCCCGUUAAUGGGUGAUAGCGUGCCUUUUGUAGAAUGAACCGGCGAGUUACGAUUUGUUGCAAGGUUAAGCGGAAAAAGCGGAGCCGUAGCGAAAGCGAGUCUGAAUAGGGCGCAUAAGUAACAGGUCGUAGACCCGAAACCAGGUGAUCUACCCAUGUCCAGGAUGAAGGUAAGGUAAUACUUACUGGAGGUCCGAACCCACGCACGUUGAAAAGUGCGGGGAUGAGGUGUGGGUAGCGGAGAAAUUCCAAUCGAACUUGGAGAUAGCUGGUUCUCUCCGAAAUAGCUUUAGGGCUAGCCUCGAGGUAAAGAGUCAUGGAGGUAGAGCACUGUUUGGACUAGGGGCCCUUCUCGGGUUACCGAAUUCAGAUAAACUCCGAAUGCCAUGUACUUAUACUCGGGAGUCAGACUGCGAGUGAUAAGAUCCGUAGUCGAAAGGGAAACAGCCCAGACCACCAGUUAAGGUCCCCAAAUAUAUGUUAAGUGGAAAAGGAUGUGGGGUUGCUUAGACAACCAGGAUGUUGGCUUAGAAGCAGCCACCAUUGAAAGAGUGCGUAAUAGCUCACUGGUCGAGUGACCCCGCGCCGAAAAUGUACCGGGGCUAAACAUAUUAC
Molecule: ribosomal RNA, 1198 nt
Filed under: Listeria monocytogenes
Lineage: Bacteria; Bacillati; Bacillota; Bacilli; Caryophanales; Listeriaceae
Also listed under: 1 other name
Description: partial 23S ribosomal RNA
Rfam family: Bacterial large subunit ribosomal RNA
Source: RNAcentral